This 253-nucleotide ribosomal RNA is filed under the name uncultured bacterium. Its description in RNAcentral is "partial 16S ribosomal RNA". It matches the Rfam family "Bacterial small subunit ribosomal RNA", at positions 524 to 776 of the family's 1533-position model. The record is from RNAcentral.
UACGUAGGGACCAAGCGUUGUCCGGAAUCAUUGGGCGUAAAGAGCGUGUAGGCGGCCUGUUAAGUCUUGCGUGAAAUCUCGGGGCUCAACCCCGAGCGGUCGUGAGAAACUGGCAGGCUAGAGUGCGGGAGAGGAGAGUGGAAUUCCUGGUGUAGCGGUGAAGUGCGCAGAUAUCAGGAAGAACACCCGUGGCGAAGGCGGCUCUCUGGAACGCAACUGACGCUGAGACGCGAAAGCGUGGGGAGCAAACAGG